This 245-nucleotide ribosomal RNA is filed under the name uncultured bacterium. RNAcentral's name for it is "partial 16S ribosomal RNA". It matches the Rfam family "Bacterial small subunit ribosomal RNA", at positions 524 to 768 of the family's 1533-position model. The record is from RNAcentral.
UACGAAGGGGGCUAGCGUUGCUCGGAAUUACUGGGCGUAAAGGGCGCGUAGGCGGACAGUUUAGUCGGGGGUGAAAUCCCGGGGCUCAACCCCGGAACUGCCUUCGAUACUGGCUGUCUUGAGUUUGGGAGAGGUGAGUGGAAUGCCGAGUGUAGAGGUGAAAUUCGUAGAUAUUCGGCGGAACACCAGUGGCGAAGGCGACUCACUGGCCCGAUACUGACGCUGAUGCGCGAAAGCGUGUGGAG